This 541-nucleotide ribosomal RNA is filed under the name Acinetobacter sp. RNAcentral describes it as "bacterial SSU rRNA". It matches the Rfam family "Bacterial small subunit ribosomal RNA", at positions 384 to 917 of the family's 1533-position model. The record is from RNAcentral. Lineage: Bacteria; Pseudomonadati; Pseudomonadota; Gammaproteobacteria; Moraxellales; Moraxellaceae.
UGAUCAGCCAUGCCGCGUGUGUGAAGAAGGCCUUUUGGUUGUAAAGCACUUUAAGCGAGGAGGAGGCUACCGAGAUUAAUACUCUUGGAUAGUGGACGUUACUCGCAGAAUAAGCACCGGCUAACUCUGUGCCAGCAGCCGCGGUAAUACAGAGGGUGCAAGCGUUAAUCGGAUUUACUGGGCGUAAAGCGCGCGUAGGUGGCCAAUUAAGUCAAAUGUGAAAUCCCCGAGCUUAACUUGGGAAUUGCAUUCGAUACUGGUUGGCUAGAGUAUGGGAGAGGAUGGUAGAAUUCCAGGUGUAGCGGUGAAAUGCGUAGAGAUCUGGAGGAAUACCGAUGGCGAAGGCAGCCAUCUGGCCUAAUACUGACACUGAGGUGCGAAAGCAUGGGGAGCAAACAGGAUUAGAUACCCUGGUAGUCCAUGCCGUAAACGAUGUCUACUAGCCGUUGGGGCCUUUGAGGCUUUAGUGGCGCAGCUAACGCGAUAAGUAGACCGCCUGGGGAGUACGGUCGCAAGACUAAAACUCAAAGGAAUUGACGGA